RNAcentral lists this antisense RNA (75 nucleotides) under Streptomyces sp. TSRI0107. Its description in RNAcentral is "ASpks sRNA". It matches the Rfam family "ASpks TB sRNA". The record is from RNAcentral. Lineage: Bacteria; Bacillati; Actinomycetota; Actinomycetes; Kitasatosporales; Streptomycetaceae.
CUUCACCGAGCCGAGCCACAGCGGGUCGCGGUCGUCGCGGCCCUGCCCGUAGGUGGCGAGGAGCGCCUGGGCCUC